This 453-nucleotide ribosomal RNA is filed under the name uncultured bacterium. Its description in RNAcentral is "bacterial SSU rRNA". It matches the Rfam family "Bacterial small subunit ribosomal RNA", at positions 20 to 518 of the family's 1533-position model. The record is from RNAcentral.
UGGCUCAGAACGAACGCUGGCGGCAGGCCUAACACAUGCAAGUCGAGCGCGCCCUUCGGGGUGAGCGGCGGACGGGUUAGUAACGCGUGGGAACGUACCCUUUGGUAGGGAAUAGCCACUGGAAACGGUGAGUAAUACCCUAUGAGCCCUUCGGGGGAAAGAUUUAUCGCCAAAGGAUCGGCCCGCGUUAGAUUAGGUAGUUGGUGGGGUAAUGGCCUACCAAGCCUACGAUCUAUAGCUGGUUUUAGAGGAUGAUCAGCAACACUGGGACUGAGACACGGCCCAGACUCCUACGGGAGGCAGCAGUGGGGAAUCUUGGACAAUGGGGGCAACCCUGAUCCCAGCCAUGCCGCGUGAGUGAAGAAGGCCUUAGGGUCGUAAAGCUCUUUCGCCUGUGAAGAUAAUGACGGUAGCAGGUAAAGAAACCCCGGCUAACUCCGUGCCAGCCGCUGC